This 407-nucleotide ribosomal RNA is filed under the name uncultured bacterium. RNAcentral describes it as "bacterial SSU rRNA". It matches the Rfam family "Bacterial small subunit ribosomal RNA", at positions 355 to 776 of the family's 1533-position model. The record is from RNAcentral.
UGGGGAAUAUUGCACAAUGGGCGAAAGCCUGAUGCAGCAACGCCGCGUGAAGGAAGAAGGGUUUCGGCUCGUAAACUUCUAUCAACAGGGACGAAAGAAAUGACGGUACCUGAAUAAGAAGCCCCGGCUAACUACGUGCCAGCAGCCGCGGUAAUACGUAGGGGGCAAGCGUUAUCCGGAAUUACUGGGUGUAAAGGGUGAGUAGGCGGCAUGGUAAGCCAGAUGUGAAAGCCUUGGGCUUAACCCGAGGAUUGCAUUUGGAACUAUCAAGCUAGAGUACAGGAGAGGAAAGCGGAAUUCCUAGUGUAGCGGUGAAAUGCGUAGAUAUUAGGAAGAACACCAGUGGCGAAGGCGGCUUUCUGGACUGAAACUGACGCUGAGGCACGAAAGCGUGGGGAGCGAACAGG